Molecule: ribosomal RNA, 373 nt
Filed under: uncultured organism
Description: partial 16S ribosomal RNA
Rfam family: Bacterial small subunit ribosomal RNA
Source: RNAcentral
GUAGGUGGCAAGCGUUGUCCGGAAUUAUUGGGCGUAAAGCGCGCGCAGGCGGUUCUUUAAGUCUGAUGUGAAAGCCCACGGCUCAACCGUGGAGGGUCAUUGGAAACUGGAGAACUUGAGUACAGAAGAGGAAAGCGGAAUUCCACGUGUAGCGGUGAAAUGCGUAGAGAUGUGGAGGAACACCAGUGGCGAAGGCGGCUUUCUGGUCUGUAACUGACGCUGAGGCGCGAAAGCGUGGGGAGCAAACAGGGAUUAGAUACCCUGGUAGUCCACGCCGUAAACGAUGAGUGCGAAGUGUUAGGGGGUUUCCGCCCCCUUAGUGCUGCAGCUAACGCAUUAAGCACUCCGCCUGGGGAGUACGGCCGCAAGGCUG